UACGAAGGGGGCUAGCGUUGCUCGGAAUGACUGGGCGUAAAGGGCGCGUAGGCGGAGUGCUUGUCAGGCGUGAAAUUCCAGGGCUUAACCUUGGGGCUGCGUUUGAGACGGGCAUUCUUGAGUAUGGAAGAGGGUCGUGGAAUUCCCAAUGUAGAGGUGAAAUUCGUAGAUAUUGGGAAGAACACCGGUGGCGAAGGCGGCGACCUGGUCCAUGACUGACGCUGAGGCGCGAAAGCGUGGGGAGCAAACAGG
This 252-nucleotide ribosomal RNA is filed under the name uncultured bacterium. RNAcentral's name for it is "partial 16S ribosomal RNA". It matches the Rfam family "Bacterial small subunit ribosomal RNA", at positions 524 to 776 of the family's 1533-position model. The record is from RNAcentral.